Cyprinus carpio carpio is the source of this 5726-nucleotide long non-coding RNA. The record is from Ensembl. Lineage: Eukaryota; Metazoa; Chordata; Actinopteri; Cypriniformes; Cyprinidae.
AUGGCACCGCAGACGGCUGCUUCAGUGCUUGGCUCUCCAGUGUUUGUACUGUUUUUGUUCGUUUUUCCUGUAUUUUGUUUAACAAACACGAUCAGUUUCACCAGGGAAGAACUGCUGAACAUUCGGCAGAACACACCACAAGAUCUUUUACCGGAUUUCAAUUAUUCAGACGUUUUACUGAACGUUGUUGUCGGCGGAGCAGCGGCGCUGAUCAAACGCUUCAGGACGCGCAAACGGGGGAAGCGAGCUGGUGCGCUCGUUAGACUCAGGAAGCGUGGAUUUCGAACGCCGUUGCCUAGCAUCCAUCUGGCAAAUCUCCGCUCUCUACCCAACAAAACGGACGAAAUCCUUCUGCUCUCUCGGACAAAUAAGGAUUUCUCACACUCUGCUGCUUUGUGUUUCACGGAAACCUGGCUCAAUGACGCCAUACCGGACAGUGCACUCCAUCUGCCGGGCUUACAGCUGUUCAGAGCGGAUCGCGACGCAGAAUCAACGGGGAAAUCGCGCGGCGGCGGGACAUGCUUUUACAUCAAUGAACGGUGGUGUACAGAUGUAACUUUGUUAAAGAAGAUGUGCUGCUCAGAUCUCGAAACACUCUUCAUUAACUGCAAGCCGUUCUAUUCGCCGCGGGAGUUUCACUCGUUCAUUCUGGUGAGUGUUAAUAUCCCUCCGCAAGCGCACGUAAGUCUGGCUUUACAUCCUGCUCUGCUUCAUUGGUCCAUCUUUUUACAGUCCUUAAUACAGGUUUAGCUGAUUUUAGUUUCCGCCUGUAGGUCGGUAUAAAAAGAACCAAACACUGAUAAGAACGUCCCAAAGCUGCCCGUGGAACAGAGUGAUAUGCAUCCUUUAUUGUGGUGUAACAGUGGUCCAAUAUCUUACUGUCUCUGGUGGGACAUGUGAUGUGCUGUCUGUAUUUUGGCAGUUCACAGGAGAGAUUGGCUUUAUUAAAGUCCCUGAGAAUGAUUAAAACAGAGUCCGAAUAGAACGGCUUGCAGUUAAUGAAUAGUGUUUCUAGAUCUGAACAACACAUCUUAUUUAACACUGUUACAUCUGUACUCCACCUUUCUUUGAUGUAAAAGCAUGUCCCACCGCCGCACAAUUUCCCUGUUGAUUCUGCGUCACGGUCCGCUCUGAACAGCUGAAAGCCUGCCAGAUGGAGCACACUGUCUGGAAUGGUGUCGUUUAGCCAAGUUUCCAUGAAACACAGAGCAGCAGAGUGUGAGAAAUCCUUAUUUGUCCGGGAGAGCAGAAGGAGUUUGUCCGUUUUGUUGGGUAGAGAGCGGAGAUUUGCCAGAUGGAUGCUAGGCAACGGCGUUCGAAAUCCGCGUGUUCUGAGUCUCACGUGCGCGCCAGCUUCUUUUCCCCGUCUGCGCAUCCUGAAGUGUGUGAUCAGCGCAGCUGCUCCGCCGACAAGAAUGUCCAGCAAAACAUCAGAAUAGUCGAAAACCGGUUAUAUAUCGAUAGAUGUGUGGUGCAGAAUGUCCAGCAAUUUGUCCCUGGUUAAACUGAUUGCAGGAAUAUAACUUAAGACAGGGCAAACUAACAAAAACACAAAAACAAAUGCAGAGCACGUCACUGAGGCAGCCAUCCUAUAUCGGCGCCAGCAAUGAAUAGAAUGCCAUUCUGGAAUGGUGGACACUGUGGGAUCACUGUGUUCCUCCUCCACGACUCCCACAGUAAAUAAAGAACCAUAUAAUCCAUUUAGGGUCAUGUACUGUAGUGGAAUAAGGGAGCCGAGUGGUUCAGAAAGCCCUCAACAAAACGUAUGACCCACAAAACAUUAAACAUGGAAAUUAAGUGUGCCAGUUCAAUAAAGUAAUUUACAUAAUCCUCAGUACUGUGAUCUCCUUGUUGGAGGCACAGAUUUGUGUGACUGGAUUCAUUUUUGCUGGACUGGAAAUACUCACAGAGCUACUGGAUCUAUGUUAAGCCUUUGAUGCUCGUUAAAGCCUCAACAAUGUGACAACAGAGUUGAGGAUCCAAAUGCAGCUUUAUUCCAAAGAGUAGUCAAAACAGACAGGGUCAAAAAAACAGCAGACAGGUACACUCCAGGAUGAGACAAAGAGAAAUCCAAUAAACAGGCGAAGGUCAGGGCAGGCAGCAAACAAUCAAAAUCAAGGUACACAGUCCAGAGAUCAAAAACCAUGAAGACAAGGAAACAGGGAAACUAGGAAACACAUGAAAAACACGUAAACUCUGAAACACUACAGGCUUAACAAUACUCAGCUAUGUGCGUGUGGAUGAGUGUAACCUUUAUAAAGCUCCUUAUAUGUGACAGUUGUGAACUGAUGAUGAGUCCAGGCAAAUGAUUAUGGGAAAUGGAGUCUGGCUUGAAUGGCAAAGGUACAGGAUGGAGUCUCCUCUUGUGGAGCUCGUGGGCACUCCAGCUGGUGAUUGUAACAAAUACAAGUAAAUGUUGACCUUGUGGGGACAUGUUUUGGUCCCCAUUGGGAAACAAGCUUAUAAAUCAUAUAGAUUUUUUUUUUUUUUUUUUUUUUAUGAAAAUCUAAAAAUGCAGAAAGUUUUGUGUAAGCUGUAGGUUUAGGGGUAGGGUUAUGGUAAGGGAUAGCAAAUAAAUUAUGUACAGUUUAAAACCAUAACAUCUGUGCAUUGUCCCCAUAAAACAUGGAAACUAGUGAGUAUGUGUGUGUGUGUCUGAACCAGGUUUUUCCUUACGUUGUUACGUGUGCAAGGCAGGAGAGAGCAGGGUACAACUGACCACCAUAAAUAGGGGUACAUUAGAUGAAGGUAUGGCACAGGACAAUGAACAUAGAGAUUAAGGAAGCAAACAAGAAGGAUAUCAAGGGGAACAGGUGGGACAAAUGAACCAAUAUACAGAUAACAAGAAGAGUGGGUCAAGACACUAGACAAGAGAACACAUGGUUCAUAACAAAAACACAACGAAAGCCACAUGCUCACACAUGACACCCAACCAGUGAGAACCCCUAUUAGCCAUGUUAACACAAAACAAGAUGACCAAAAGCAUGCAGCCAAUGAAAAGUCCCACAAACAGUAGUCUCAGUCUCAAAUGUCUAAUAUUUAAAUAUUAAUAUUAAAUAUUAAAUAUUAAAAGUUUGCAGCAUAGAAUCUUUAAAAUAUGUCAGAGAGUUUUACACACCGGUCUGUUAUUGUGGCGACAUUUCCACAAAUAAACUCUACCGAAGUUUCAGAUCCCUGAUAUUUUUAGGAUAGUUAUUUGAUUGGGCAAAUCAAUUGCCACCAAAUUAGACACUUAAUAAAAUUACAUUAAACAGCUUUUACUGGUCACAGUCUUCGACAAUGCAAUGUUAAUCUCACUUUUUCUUUGUGACGUUCAAACACAUGUAUGUUUUUAUAUGAUUAUAUUUUCAUGUUUAUAUGUUUAAACAACUGUGUACUGUGAAUGUGCCUAUAAACAACAAGGGAAUGAAGUAAGGAUCUACAAUGUGAAACAAAUCCAAACUUUGAACAACAAAAGAAACAGUGGAAUCAAGAAUGAACUGGAAGACAUGGGUGACAAAAUGCAAGAACCAAUCCAGAACAUAGGAAUCCACUAGAUCUACAUAAGAUUAACAAGCAACUAAACGAGACAAGUGAACAUAACCCAAAACCAUAGAAACAAUGGUUAAAACCCAUUUAAGCCCACCGGCAACUAUAGUUGCCGCAGUUUAUAGUUGUCAUUUUCCUUUUGCAAGUAUUUUUUCUAGAUGUUAUCCAUGUUUUAUUUCUCAAUGACAUGCAAGCAAACAACCAAAUAAAGGAUUUCAAGAAAAAAAAAUAAGGCAUUCACUUCCUUCCUGUUACAUGAGGCUGUUAAGUUCCUACCCCUAUAUACACAUACAUAAUCAUGGAGGUCUCUAGAAUCAUCCAAACAAAACAAAUCUUCCAGGAGAUCUAUAGUUUUUUUUUUUUUUGUAUACUUAGUCAAAUGUCCAAGCGGCAACUAUAGUUGCCGGUGGGCAAAUGACUUGUAAGUACAUAUCAUGGGGAAAUGGUGUAUACUGUGUUAACAGGUUAAUAAAUCAAGGUUAUUGGUCUUGUUUUCUGCCUUUUGUUUUCAUAAUAUCCCACCUAAAACAUAACUUUUAACAUACCUUUAACUGACAUCUCUACUGUACAGUAGACCUUAAUUUGAUAGGGAAUAAAUCUGUCAAAAGGAGGAGAUGAGAGCGCAAUCUUUCCACAGCUCUACUGCCCCACUUCUGUGUCUGCUUUUGCCAUGGUGGGUGGAGAUUUCCAGUUUUCGAGUGACUUCAGCAGUUUACAAACUUCAGGCAGUCACACAAAAGGAACAAUGGAAAGAUAAAGAGCUAACACAUGGGAUUAAUUGAUGCUGAUUAUCUUUUUCUCCCUUUUAUGACAUUAUGUCUCGUAAGGGGCAAAAUACUGAGGGCCCUUUAUCCAGUUUGGAUGCGUUUCAUUCUAAUUGGUCAAGGAACCUAAUUCAUUUUAUGACUAGUAGCUUAUGAUUCCAUUGUAAUGCUGAAAUUCAGACAAGUAAUGAAUUUACAUUUACAUUAUUAUAUUAAAUCACCUACUACAGUCAGCCAUUGAAUACUAUGGGCCUAUAAAAAAUGGGUAAUUUUCUUUCAGGUAUACCUUUUUUAUUAUAUAGAUGUAAUAUUUUCUUUAUUCUAUUUAUUUUUAUUUAUUUAUUUUUUAUUUAACUAACAUACUUUUAAGAAUGAAAUUACCUGCAUGUUCAAUAAUAAGUAAAUAAAUAAACAAACAAACAAUCAUGGGUGUAGCCUACACAUGAUAAUUAUUUAAAUAAUCAUAUUCUUUUAAAAAGAAUAUCAUUAAUUUCAUGAAUAUCAAGGACAUUUGUCAGGGUUAAUCCAUCUGACCUAAUCAAUAUGUACCUAUUCAUAAUAUAUGUGAUAUUUUACAUAUUUACAUCACAAAGUAUAGUAUGCAAAUAUGUUUUAUGUGAAUUUAUAAAACUACAUGUACCUUCACUGCAGUACUCCUAGUAGGCUACUUAUACGAAAACUGCUUACGUAAGGGAAAGUUCACCCAAAAAUGGAAAUUGUGCCAUCAUUGUGUCUUCUUAAAGUUGCAAAUUUUUGUUAAGCACAAAAGAAGAUAUUUUGCAGAAUGUUGGUAACCAAACAGUUAAAUGCAUAAUUUUCUUUCAGGUAUACCCUUUUUAUUAUUUUUAAUUAACUUACUGAUACACAAUAGAAGUGAAGUGAAGUGAAGUGACGUGACAUUCAGCCAAGUAUGGUGACCCAUACUCAGAAUUCGUGCUCUGCAUUUAACCCAUCCGAAGUGCACACACACAGAGCAGUGAACACACACACACACACUGUGAACACACACCCGGAGCAGUGGGCAGCCAUUUUAUGCUGCGGCGCCCGGGGAGCAGUUGGGGGUUCGAUGCCUUGCUCAAGGGCACCUAAGUCAUGGUAUUGAAGGUGGAGAGAGAACUGUACAUGCACUCCCCCCACCCACAAUUCCUGCCGGCCCGAGACUCGAACUCACAACCCUUCGAUUGGGAGUCCGACUCUCUAACCAUUAGGCCACGACUUCCCCAAUACCCUGUUGGGUCAACUUAAUGGCUGCUCUUUGUUCUGCAUUAUGUUCCACCAUUUUAAGACGGAUUUAUUGUGUUUUCAUAUUCAAGAUAUUAUCAACUAGAUGCAACGUUUUGGGGGGGUUUUCAUUGAUUGUUCUUUGACUUUUAUGCAUAUUUAAUUUGUUUAUGAAUAAAGAUCGAUCUGCUGAAAACAGUUAUUUUGAGUUAG